UACGUAGGGGGCAAGCGUUGUCCGGAAUCAUUGGGCGUAAAGCGCGCGUAGGCGGCCCGGUAAGUCCGUUGUGAAAGUCAAAGGCUCAACCUUUGAACGCCGAUGGAUACUGCCGGGCUAGAGUCCGGAAGAGGCGAGUGGAAUUCCUGGUGUAGCGGUGGAAUGCGCAGAUAUCAGGAGGAACACCAAUAGCGAAGGCAGCGCGCUGGGACGGUACUGACGCUGAGGCGCGAAAGCGUGGGGAGCGAACAGG
RNAcentral lists this ribosomal RNA (253 nucleotides) under uncultured bacterium. Its description in RNAcentral is "partial 16S ribosomal RNA". It matches the Rfam family "Bacterial small subunit ribosomal RNA", at positions 524 to 776 of the family's 1533-position model. The record is from RNAcentral.